This is a long non-coding RNA of Tupaia belangeri chinensis (Chinese tree shrew), 559 nucleotides long. RefSeq lists it as uncharacterized. Lineage: Eukaryota; Metazoa; Chordata; Mammalia; Scandentia; Tupaiidae. The transcript has 2 exons. The record is from RefSeq and is a predicted model, not a curated record.
CUCUGCCGGGAGGCGGCGGUGACAACGACGGCCGCGGUGACGGGCACCGCGCCGGGGGUGAGGCACCAUUACCCAGUUGAACUCUGCAUUUGGAAAGCCCGCAAUUGAAGAAGACAAAUCAGAGACGUUGUCUAACCUGGAAACAGGGACACCUUUGGAACUUUGCUUUCAUUCACAGUAAUUUUUUUAAAGUGUCAUCAAGUGGAGUUAGUUUUUUCAUCUUGUUUUGCUCAUCGAGAAGAACAUGGCUUUAAGGAUUUUAAGUUUCCUUUUAGUUUUGCAUGAACUCUAUAGGAAACGGAGCCCUUAAAGGGCUUGGGAAUAACAAAAAAGAGAUUGAAGACAAGCUUGCCCUCUCUUUAUUUCCUUUCCCUUCAAAGAAAAGGAUUUACAACUCAUUCUUGUAACAGCUGUUGUCCUGCUGUAGCCACUGAGAGAGAGAGAAAAAUCAAAUUAAACUACCACUGCCAGACUACAAGCCCUGGUGAAGUCAAGGUGUGGGAGUGGUGGCAUUGAGAAGACUGCCAAAAAGGGACAGGAAUUGCAGUGAAAACAGCUU